RNAcentral lists this long non-coding RNA (779 nucleotides) under Marmota monax (woodchuck). The record is from RNAcentral. Lineage: Eukaryota; Metazoa; Chordata; Mammalia; Rodentia; Sciuridae.
AUUUAUUUCUACAUAGACUUUUACCUUUGGGAAGAAGGAUAUCUUUUCAAAUUUUUAAAAAAUGUUUAUUAACAGGACUCUUGGUUUGCCAUUGGCUUCAUUGAUUCAUUAAUUAAUACCUCAAAUAUCUUCUCAUUCUUUCCCAUGGGAAGGAAAAGAAAGAAUGAUGGAAAACAUCCUUAGCACCUGUCCUCAAAGCUUGCCCCACUAAUUUAUACUUCUUGUAAAUGGUCAGUUGAUGUAAAGAUAUUUAUUAAGUGCCUGAUAGGUACUUAGGUCAAUUCGAGAGGCUGUGGGGUUCAUAGUGUCUACAAAGGAAUUAAUUCCCUUUAAGGAGCUUGCAUAUAUAGUAAACAAGGGCAAAACUGAGGCUAACCAAUCUGCUACAGUUUCAAAGGGCAGAAUGGCAGCAGCUGGUGUGGGGUUUCUGUUCUCGCGACUAAAAGGCUCAGGGGUCACUCUAGUUAAACUGGGCAAACUGGGCUGCACAAAAUAACCACACAAGAGACACAAAUACCUUUAUCUUUGGGGUUGCUGUGACGGCUCCUCUGACCUUAAGGGUCCGCAGAAAGAGAGAGAGAGAGAGAGCACGCGCUGACCCCUUUUAUUGAGGAGAAGCUAUUCAAAUGAGGCAAGGGGUCAGGUUUCAGGGGGCUGAGUCUAUCUUCAUGAUGUCCACUGUCAGCAGGUUGAUUGACACCUGGGUAGGCCACACCCAAGGGCACAGUAAGAGGAGGGGACACAUACAAGGCACUUCCAUGGAAGAUUCUAUCCUAAAC